RNAcentral lists this ribosomal RNA (195 nucleotides) under uncultured bacterium. RNAcentral's name for it is "partial 16S ribosomal RNA". It matches the Rfam family "Bacterial small subunit ribosomal RNA", at positions 1306 to 1500 of the family's 1533-position model. The record is from RNAcentral.
UGCAACUCGCCUGCAUGAAGUCGGAAUUGCUAGUAAUCGUAGGUCAGCAUACUACGGUGGAUACGUUCCCGGGCCUUGUACACACCGCCCGUCAAACCAUGAGAGUUGGCAACACCCGAAGUCGGUAGUCUAACCGCAAGGAGGACGCCGCCGAAGGUGGGGUUGAUGAUUAGGGUUAAGUCGUAACAAGGUAUC